RNAcentral lists this ribosomal RNA (217 nucleotides) under Clostridioides difficile. RNAcentral describes it as "partial 16S ribosomal RNA". It matches the Rfam family "Bacterial small subunit ribosomal RNA", at positions 925 to 1141 of the family's 1533-position model. The record is from RNAcentral. Lineage: Bacteria; Bacillati; Bacillota; Clostridia; Peptostreptococcales; Peptostreptococcaceae.
ACAAGUAGCGGAGCAUGUGGUUUAAUUCGAAGCAACGCGAAGAACCUUACCUAAGCUUGACAUCUCAAUGACAUCUCCUUAAUCGGAGAGUUCCCUUCGGGGACAUUGGUGACAGGUGGUGCAUGGUUGUCGUCAGCUCGUGUCGUGAGAUGUUGGGUUAAGUCCCGCAACGAGCGCAACCCUUGUCUUUAGUUGCCAUCAUUAAGUUGGGCACUCU